Molecule: non-coding RNA, 46 nt
Filed under: Schistosoma mattheei
Lineage: Eukaryota; Metazoa; Platyhelminthes; Trematoda; Strigeidida; Schistosomatidae
Source: RNAcentral
UUCUAGAGUGACGAGUCCCAAAUAGGAUGAAACACGCGUCCUGGAU